ACGGGAGGCAGCAGUGGGGAAUAUUGGACAAUGGGCGCAAGCCUGAUCCAGCAAUGCCGCGUGGGUGAUGAAGGCCUUCGGGUUGUAAAGCCCUUUCGCACGCGACGAUGAUGACGGUAGCGUGAGAAGAAGCCCCGGCUAACUUCGUGCCAGCAGCCGCGGUAAUACGAAGGGGGCGAGCGUUGUUCGGAAUUACUGGGCGUAAAGGGCGCGUAGGCGGUGCACCAAGUCAGGCGUGAAAGCCCCGGGCUCAACCUGGGAACGGCGCUUGAGACUGGUGCGCUCGAGUUCGGGAGAGGACGGCGGAAUUCCCAGUGUAGAGGUGAAAUUCGUAGAUAUUGGGAAGAACACCGAUGGCGAAGGCAGCCGUCUGGACCGACACUGACGCUGAGGCGCGAAAGCGUGGGGAGCAAACAGGAUUAGAUACCCUGGUA
This 434-nucleotide ribosomal RNA is filed under the name uncultured Skermanella sp. RNAcentral describes it as "bacterial SSU rRNA". It matches the Rfam family "Bacterial small subunit ribosomal RNA", at positions 341 to 792 of the family's 1533-position model. Lineage: Bacteria; Pseudomonadati; Pseudomonadota; Alphaproteobacteria; Rhodospirillales; Azospirillaceae. The record is from RNAcentral.